Molecule: non-coding RNA, 10790 nt
Organism: Oryctolagus cuniculus (rabbit)
Lineage: Eukaryota; Metazoa; Chordata; Mammalia; Lagomorpha; Leporidae
Source: RefSeq, a predicted model, not a curated record
GCCGGGGGGCUGGAGGUGCCGCCUUUCUUCCGGCCCGGCAAACUGAGAGGAGGAAGCAAGAGGAAGCGGGCGGCUCUCGCGAGGGUUUAUCCAGCGCCCCGCCAGUUGUAUGGGGGUUCUUAAAGGGCGAGACGCCGGAGUCAUCAUCUUCUGCGUCCCUCUUCUUUGAACAGAAGUGGGCGUCUGAAGCUCUGCGACGCAAAGCUGGACCCUCGGGUCCGGACGCGCGCGGUGGGGAAUGGCGCCCGAGGAGCCUUCAAAGUAAGCCCUUCAAGCCUCGCGGCUUCAUCGGUGACGAAGUGCUCUGGCCUGAGUGCGUCACGGCUGCGCCAACAAAUGUUCCGUCUCGACCAGCGAUUCGGAAUAGGGGCCUGUCCGGCUCCAGAGUGGACUCUCACCCUCAGGAGCGAAACCGGCAUGUUGCCUGUGGCCGCAGUGCUUGGGACUUUGUGGGGUUGAAGAAACAGGGGCUGCCGGAGAUCACAUAGGUGGCCAGUGUAGAGGGAAAAGCUACCUGCAAUGCUGGUAUUCCAUAUGGGCCCUGUUCAAGUCCUGGCUGCUCCACUUCUGAUCCAGCUCCUUGCUAAUGGCCCAGGAAAAGCAGCAGAUGACCCAAGUGUUUGGGUCUCUAUCACCCACGAGGGAGAUCUGAAGCUCAAGCUCCUGGCUCCUGGUUCAAGUGUGGCCCAGCCAUAGCCGUUGUGACCAUCUGGGGAGUCAGAUAGAUCUCUCUCUCCUUUUCCUUCAUAUAUUGUUAUAGUAGCACAAAAUGGACCAAGAUGGUGUUUGUUCUGGUCAGUAUAAUUUUCUUUACUGGUUCUGGAAAACCUCAGGCAGGCUACAUUUCUAUUUUUUAAAAACAUUUUCAUUUUUAUUUUAAAGGCAAAGAGAGAUCUUCCAUUAGCCAGGGCCGGGACAGCUGAAGCCAGGAGCCUGGAACUUCCAUCUGGGUCUUCCACAUGGAUGGCAGGGACCAAACUGAGCAUCUCCUUCACCCAGGAUGCACAUUCAGGGUAAACUGGAUGAAAAGCAAAUGAGCUGGGACUCAUAUCAGACACUCCCAUUAAGGAACGUGAGCAUUCCAAGCAGCAGUUUUAACUGGGUUCUUCAUAGGUUGUCUCCAAUACUGAGAUGAGAAUGCUGAUUUGUGUAUGUGUUCGGCACUGGGAAACGGCAGUGAAGCAAAGUUACUCAUGGAGGUUGCAUUUUACGACAAUAAAUUGAUACUACCAUGGCCAAAGAGGAGAACAAGAAAAUAGGAAAUGAGAGGGACUUGAGGAGGGUUUAUUUAAUGAUAGGUCAUAACAUUAUGCAAAAAGUGAGUGAACCAAGUUGAAAUCUGGAGGUAAAGGCCGCCAAGAUAAAUUGAGAGAGGGGGAAACACCAGAGCACAUGAAGCUUGUGGUCAGAGGCCUUUGGCAGAGCUUUCAGCAGGAGUCACAGCUAUCUGAAUGCUGUGGGAAAGACCCAGGGUAUAAACAGAAGCCCAGUUAAAACUGGAAUCAUCCAGGUGGCAAUGUAACACUAAACGGAGUAGGAGUGGUGAUUCUGGAUGUUAAAAUUUGCUGAUUCCAGGCUCUUUUAACUUUGUGCAACCCUAAGAAACAUUAACUUUUGAGAUGGCUAAGGCCAAUUAGGAAAAGAGGAAGAGAGAAAUCACAAGUUACUUUUGGGAUGAACACUAAAAAUAAAACCAAACGAUUUGGUUUUGCCUUUUGUGAUGGGUAUUUUAUAAUGACCCUUUGACUAGUUGAUGGUAUGCCAGGUACCUGAUUCAGCAUUUCUGGGUGUCUAUGGGGGCACUUCCCUACAAGAUAAAAGUGCUAAACUGGGAUGAAGCAGACUGCCUAUUUCAAUGCCGGCAGGCCAUUAUUCAGUUAAAAGGCCCAGACAGAACAAAACAAAACAAAACCAAAAAGCAGAAUUUGGGAUUCUGUUAGACAUAAUACCAUAGUGUUCCCCAUGCCUAGUACUUUAAGAUUUUUAUUUAUUCAAGAGGCAGAGCUACAUGGAAAGGGACAGAAAGAAAGGUCCUCGAUCUGCUGGCUAACUCCAUAGAUAGCUGCAGCAGCUGAAGCUGGGCUGACCCAGAGCUGGGAGCCUCCUUCGCUCUUCUGUGUGGGUGCAGGGGCCCUAGCAUCCAGGCCAUCCUCCACUGCCCUCCCACGGCACUGGCAGAGCACUAGCUGGGGAAAGAGCAGCUGGGAUGUGAACCAGUGCCUGCAUGGGACUCUGGCAGCACAGGCAGAGGCCCAGCCUACUAUGCCACAGCAAUGGCUUUUAGGAAUUUAACCUUUUAAAAAAUGUAUUUUGGUUUCAAAGACAGAAACAAAUCUAUCUGCUGGCUGACUUCUCAAAUGGUGCCAACAGCUGGGGCUGAGCCAGGCUAAAGGGUUUUCCACAUGGGUGUCAGGGAUCCAAGUACUUGAGCCAGCACUACUGAUUCUCAGCAUAUGCCUUGGCAGGAACAAGAAACUGGAACCACAGGUGAACUCAAACACAGAUACUGUGACACACAAUGUAGGUGUCCCCAUCUGCAUUUUAACUGGUGUGCCAAACAAAUGCCCAGGUACCUGGAAUUUUACACAGGUUUUCUUAUGUUGCCAGCUUAAAAUAGACUCCUCAGCUUCUAUAAUUAUGUUGAGCCAUCUCUAUUUUUUGGGGGAAUCCUAGUAUGCCUUUAUUGAUGAUAUAACAUAUAUUGAUAAUAUAGCUGAAAAUCUGAAGCACAGAAUAAUUUUCAGAAGCAUCUUUUAUGUGAGUAUUGAUGAACACUCAAUUUUCAGGAGUGUUAAUUAUUGUCUGAUCAUUUCCUUAACAUUGGAAUCUGAUUUCUUAAAUUGGUUUUUUAAAAGUUCAAUUUCUAGGUAUCUCUACACAGCAGUAUAAAAAGGAGACAUUAAGUUUCAUGAUUUAAGUCCAUUUUCUUGAUAAAGGUUCUUUUAGUCACAGUAUGGUAAUCCAUAAAACUGGAAGAAUAAUUCUUAAGUUGGUAAUUCUUAAUGCUUAACAGGGUGUGCAAAAAAAUACCUAGCCACUUUCUGUUUCUUAAGCAGUCAACGUGAUCAUUACAGAAUCUGGACAACCAGGAAACUCAAAAUGGGAAAGAAAUAGGGAAGGAACCUAUUAUUUUGGAGACACUAAAACCUUAACUUCAAACUAACUAUUGGUUAGCAGUUUCUUUGAUGUAAGCCAGUUCUGUUUGGACUUUUUGGUGGUUAGAGGUAACCCGAAAAUAGUAGCCCUACGUUAGAUGGUGUUUCAAGAUUCACAAUUUAAAACUGGGAAACCAGUUCUGCCCAUGUUGAUACUCAGCAUUAGAAAAUCUUGUUUCCUCCAUUGAGAAAACGAGUCAUGUCAUAUCCUUAAAGCUCAAUCACAGAGCCUCAAUUCUAAAAAACAAGAGAUAAGAAUGUGUUUCAUAUUUAUUAAAAAAAAAAAAAAAAAAAGUUGGAUCCAAAGAACAACCUCAGGGAUGGAGGUGGCAGGACACAGACCCAUAGGUAGCUAGAAAAGUAUGCCUUAGGGAAAUUUAGGGAGCCUCAUUACUACCUUGUUUUAGAUGCUAUUUAAGUAGCUAGCUUAGUUUUCCAUUCUUCUGUCCCACCCACUUACAAACACGGCACAGCUACUGGCUUGCCUAGUAAGGCCUCAGUUAAAGGACCCCAUUUACACAGAUUCGGUAUAGCAGUACUUCUAACAUAAAAAGAUCUCAUCCCCAGUCUUGUUCUAGAUCUUUGGCUGACUAUCUUUAUUGUUGUGUGUGAGAUGGUUUCACCCCUUGAACACACAAAGCCAUGUUAAGUCUUUAUAGUUAUCAAUAAAUUGUACUGCCCUCUCUUACAUGCAGCUAAAAAAUGGUGACAGGCCAGGACAAAACACAGUGAAUGCUAUACUGUUGCAAUUAUCACCCAUUAAACGAUCAUUUGCUAAUAACGGUCACUAAAUUUAUAUAUUAAAGAAAUUAUAUAUAGAAUACUGCAAAAACACAGUAAAAAGACUGAAGUUUGCUCAUUUCUGCUCAGGAAGUCCCUUCAAUCCCAAGCUUCAUCAUAUGCCAUCUUUUCAGCUUCAAAAUUUACUGCUGUUACUACUGCUUCUCCUCCUUUUGAUCCUCCUUUUGUUCCCCAGUGCCAGAACUCCCAGAGCCUUCUCGCUCGGAUGCCAUCUGUUGAGAGAAUAUUAGAGAACCACUUAACUUCAGGGCUAACAGUUUGUUUUCUGUUGUACGCAAAUGAAAAAUAUUCUUAUACAUUAUUGGUGGUUCCUGCAAUUCCUUUUCUGAUACUAUCUUCACUUCCAAACUAGAGUCAAGAAGGCAAGAGACUAUUUCCAAUUUCAGCACACCCUCUCAGUUACAUACAUGUCUAUGAAAGGAGCAGGAACCCACAAGUGACAGUAAUCAAGAACAGUUACAAUUACCUAGGGAUCCAAACAACCCUUCAGCGUGUGUACCUUUUUGUAUGCCAUUUCGAAGAGCUUCAAUGAUGCCUGCUGAAGGGAAGAUGCUGCCUGCCUAAUGUUUUCUCCUGUUUCGCUGUCUUUUCGAGCCAGGAGCUCCCUCAUUUUGGAAAUCUCUUCUUUUAGCUUGUUGCACUUAAAAACAGAAAACAAAAAUUCUUGCUUUUCCAGGUCUCCUGUCAUGUCACAUCUAGCAGUAAUCAGAAACAUUUUUAAUUUUUUUUUUUAAUUUAUUUGACAAAUAGUUUGUCUAGAGAGAGACAGAGAGAAAGGUCUUCCCUCCAUUGGUUCACCCCGCAAAUGGCCACCACAGCCAGAGCUACGCAGAUCCGAAGGCAGGAGCCAGUUGCCUUCCCCGGUCUCCCAUGUGGGCGCAGGGGCCCAAGCACCUGGGCCAUCCUCCACUGCCCUCCCAGGCCACAGCAGAGAGCUGGACUGGAAGAGGAGCAGCUGGGACUAGAACCCAGUGCUCAUAUGGGAUGCCGGUGCUGCAGGCGGAGGAUUAGCCAAGUGAGCCACAGCGCCGGCCCCUAGAAACAUUUUUUUUUUUUUGACAGGCAGAGUGGACAGUGAGAGAGAGACAGGUCUUCCUUUGCCGUUGGUUCACCCUCCAAUGGUCACCGCAGCCAGUGCGCUGCGGCCGGCGCACCGCGCUGAUCUGUUGACAGGAGCCAGGUACUUAUCCUGGUCUCCCAUGGGGUGCAGGGUCCAAGGACUUGGGCCAUCCUCCACUGCACUCCCUGGCCACAGCAGAGAGCUGGCCUGGAAGAGGGGCAACCAGGACAGAAUCCGGCGCCCCAACCAGGACUAGAACCCGGUGUGCCGGCGCCGCAAGGUGGAGGAAUAGCCUAGUGAGCUGCGGCGCCGGCCCCCAGAUACAUUUUUAUAAAGCUAAAUCCCUAUUAAGACCCACAGUAAAGUGAACUUCACUGACACUGUUAAUGCUUCCUCCAUUAUUCCUUAUUUUAAGAUAGAAAUCACCUCAUCAGCAGGCAACUGGUCCUUGAAUUCUUCCAUCUUGGUUUCUGUGUCAUGAAUGAUUCCUUCAGCCAUAUUAACUGCUUCAACCCGUUCCUUAGAGAAAUUAAAAGUUUAAUCAACCAAAGUUUUCUAAACAAGAUAAGCUUUCUACUGCAUACAGGGUAAAAACACUUAAGAGGCAAAAAUAAUUAUUGUCUGAGGUAAUCUGGAAUAGAUUUGAGAGAGCUGGAGUCUUAAAUAUGAGAAUUUCUGGCAGAGGGGCCAUUCCACCCUUAAGUUAUCACAGUCAAAACAGAAGGAAAAGCUAAACAGAAAUAUGCCCAGUAUCAUGUCUAGUCUUCCAUUUUAAUGUCCUAUCUUUGCUAAAAUUAAGCACUAAGAAUAAAGGCAAAAAGUUAUCACCUUCUUUCGCCGGUCUUCCUCAGCAUACUUUUCUGCAUUUUUAACCAUAUUUUCAAUGUCAUCUUUGCUUAAUCCACCUGAAGACUGGAUUACAACUACAGUAAAAAGAAGCCAUCUCAUUAAUUCCCAGACAAAAAAUAUAUACCUCUUUGUUCUCUACUGCCUCAAGAAAGAGUAUGUCUUCUCAUAGCUGAUCUUGAUGCAAAUUAUGAAGAGUAACUCAGGCAGGUGUUGUGGUUUAAGUGGGUAAAGCUGCCACCUGCCAUGCCAGCAUCCCAUAUGAGCACAGGUUCACAUCCUGGCUGUUAUACUUCCGAUCCAGUUCCCUACUGAUGGGAGAAGCCAUGCAGAAUGACCCAGGUUGUUUGGGCCCCUGCCACUCUUGUGGGAGACCUGGAUGGAGAUCUUGGCUCUUGCUUGGCCCAGUCCUGGCCUUUGCAAGCCAUCUGGGGAGUGAAUCAGCUAACGGAAGAUCUGUUUCUCCCUUUCUAUGACUUGUAAUUAUCAUACAAAUAAAUCUUAAAAAAAAAAAAAAAAAAAGUAAUUCCCUAAUGUCCAAUAAUAAGCAAAAGGAAACAAAAAAACCUAACUUAUCUUUAGAACAUGUGGCCUACAUGCCUACUGAAACACCACUACAGGUAUAAAAGGGACUGAAAGGAUGGACUCAUUAUCCUUCCCCAGAGUCUGGGAGAAUAAGAUGUGAAUAACAGGUUCUAUUUCUCAACAGGGGUCCCUCAACUAUGAGUCUGAUUAAUAAGGACUUACUCUGCUGCUCACGUCCUGUGCCCUUAUCUUUAGCAGAAACAUGUACAAUCCCAUUGGCAUCAAUAUCAAAUGUAACUUCAAUCUGAGGGACUCCUCGAGGUGCUGGAGGAAUUCCAAUCUAAAAUAAGUAAACAAAGACUCAGAAUAAGCUCAUCUCAUGAGUCCAAUCUUCUAAUUCCAAAUAGGCAAUCUUUUCUAGUAAACAAAUUACUUAGUUCCUAGGUAGAACAAGUGAUACCAUCACUUAAUAUACAUAAACACAGGUUUUUAAGUGAGGGCAGUAGUUUCAUUGGUGCCUGAAAUCAUCAGGGGUUAUAACCACAGAAGGUCAACUACACGAAGUAGUCACAGUGGCUAUACUGGACUCAGCGAUGGUAAAUGACAGCAAACUUCCCUUCUGUUGUUUGUAGCACCAAAAACCAAUAAGAAAUGCUGAUCAGAAGUACCAAAUGUCUUUUAAGUGAGUAGUCAGGAAUUCUCUGAUUUAAGUGUUGUUUUUUUAACUUUUCUCUGGCUCUUUAUAAACUUAAUAGAGCAAGGUUUUUCAGGUAAAAACUGAAGUCAUAUCUAGUUCCACAAUCUGUCUGCAUACCUUUUCAAGAUAUGCUGUACCUCAGCAGUUUAUAGUAUUCUUUUCAGGGGUUAGCCUACAUUUACAUGAGGAAAUUGAGCACAAUUCAGGAUUCAUUAAUACGUACCAAAGUGAACUGUCCAAGAAGUUUGUUAUCUCCAGCCAUCUCUCUCUCCCCUUGACAUACUUUAAUCUCGACUUGAGUCUGCCCAUCAGCAGCAGUAGAAAACACCUACAAGAAGAAAAUUUCCUGAGUUGGCAAUGUGAUUAAACUAGUCCCCUUAUACAGACAAAAGGCAAGCAAGACAAAGAAAUUCACAUCCCAACAUUGGAAGGAUCCUAAUACACACUAUAUUCAGAAAAAAAUGCCCAUCUUUACAGGGAAGAAGAGUAAGAUUAGUACAGCAAAAGGACAGACAAUAGCUACUGCUUUGUAGCAUUAGCAGAGAGGGGCUCAAGACAAGGUGGUGAAAUGCUGAAACGUGCUAUCUGGGAAACAGGUGAUGUAUGCACUCAGUUCAGGAAGCCACCACACACUUCUUCAGGAUGACAUGUUGAAAAACACUACAAAAAUACAGCAACAGCCACAGUUCUUCAGAAAAAAAGACUGGGAAAGUGAGGAAAUAAUAAUUUAUGAUAGGCCCAGCCAUGUCUAAAUGGCCCUGCUUGGUAUCUGAGAUCCCCACCCUCAUUUACCCACAUACAAGCAUACUCCCCUUGUCUAUGCCAGGGUAUGCUUUUUACUGUCCUCGAAUACAGAAGACUACAGAACAUUCAGUCCCAAACUAUGAGCCUCCUUUUAGCAAAUUACGUUCAUGUUGUGAAGGAGAGGCUACUGAUGCCCUCCCUAUAGAAUCACUGCUAGCUGACAAAUAAUGAACUUCUCCCAAACAAAAAGUUCUCACCACCCUCAGUCAACCAGUCUGGACCACAAACAGAAAGCAAGUUUUUCUUCUAAAAAGGCUCACAAAAGUGGCUGCAAAGGUUGGUGUUUGGCCUAGUGGUUAAUUUGGAAUACCCACAUCCCACGCGAGUGUCUGGAUUCAAGCACCUGUUCCAUUCCAGAUUCCAGCUUCUUGCUAAUGUGCUCCUGGGAGUUAGCAGGCAGUAGCUCAAGUAGCUGGGUCCCUGCCACCCACUAGGGAGUCCUGGAUUAUGGCUUUGGCAGGUCAAGGUGCUAGGAGUUAUGGGACUGGUUCACUCCUCAAAUAACAAGGUAGGAAAGGGUGGCUCUUACCUGGCUCUUUUUGGUUGGAAUAGUGGUGUUCCUGUUAAUAAGCUUGGUGAAGACACCUCCUAGAGUCUCAAUACCCAGAGACAGGGGAGUGACAUCCAGGAGCAGCACAUCUGUGACAUCACCAGCCAAUACGCCUCCUUGAAUAGCAGCUCCAAUAGCCACAGCUUCAUCAGGAUUGACAGCUUUACUUGGGGCUCGGCCAAAAAGAUCCUGCACAGUCUGCUGGACCUGGGCAACAGAAGAAAGAAUCUAUUAUCCAACAUCGAGGGUAACUGCCUGAAGAGUGAGAGCGCACGCAUGUGUUAAGACCUCAACGAAAUCUCAAGGCAGGCUAAUUCAGAUCCAACAAUGUUUACUCAAAUUACUGGUUCACAGCUCAGAUCUUGUUAAAGAUCCAGUAAUACGUACUUUACUCAUCAUCUGAAAUGGUAAAAUGGGACAUAUAUGUAUAUAUAUAUAGUAUACUCCAAGUUCUCUUUUACACAAUUAAAGGAAGCCAUAGAAAUAAUGCAAUACUGUUACCAAUGACAUGGUUAUCCCUCCUGUUUAUCGUAUUAGGGUUAAAAAAAAGUGUAUUUAAAUAGUACCUGGGAAAACUUAACGUAAAAGGCUCUAGCUCAGAGCCUUUAAUUUUCUUAGGUUUAUCCUGUGCAUAUUUCCAGGCCUACAUAUUUCAAAGGAAAAAUAAAAAAUAUAGGGUCUUAACUCCAGCCUAGGAUAAUUAUGAUCAGACUUCAACAGGUUUGUGCUCAGUCAUUAGUUCUCCACACAUCUGUGAGUUCAGAAUGAUGUGUUGUUAAAUAAAAUGCAUCACUGCACAAAAUCUGUUGAAGAGAUAGUAAGGCACAGUGUACAAAGACACAUGUCUAAAGACCCUCAGGGCUUGUGACCAGCAUUCCAAUCUCAGACCUUAAACUUUUUUUUUAAUACCAACUAAAAAAAAAGGCAGAACAGAAACCUUAAGUGAGGAUACAAUCUUAUUCUUCUUUCAAGCCACCCUGGUAAAAAGAGCAACAUGCUUACAUCUGCAAAAUAGGCCACCUGUCCCAGAAGUGUUUUAUGGGGUAACCCUCUUUUCUAUGUCAAAAAUUCCAUGGGUCCAUACCUUGGGCAUCCUAGUCAUGCCACCAACAAGAAUCACUUCUCCUAUGUCACUCUUGCUAACUUCUGCAUCUUGCAUAGCUUUCUGGCAUGGAGCCAUAGUCCUCUUGAUCAGAUCUGCAACAAUUCCCUCAAAUUGAGCCCGGGUCAACUUCAUGUUCAAAUGCUUGGGUCCGGAAGCAUCCAUUGUAAGAUAUGGCAAGUUGAUGUCGGUCUGCAGAAGAAAUGUUUUAUCAUUCAGUGUGAGACAAAUGGUGGUUACAUUUUAUUAUUUUAAAAUUAAGACCAUACACUAGGACAGGCUUGAAAAGCCAUAGCAAUGAUCAAACCUGGUUUAUUUGAGCAGCUACUAAAGACAGUGACUGUGCAAGAUGCAACCUCCAACCUCCCUACAGAAACCAUUUAAAUAAAAUCUAUAGCUAUUAACAAUGAAAAAUGGAGUACUCAAGUAGUUCAAAUUCCUCUUCACACUAAACAUUAAGAAUUACAAUACAAGGGCCGGAGCUGUGGUACAGCAGGUGAAAUUGCUGCUUUGAAAUUAUCCAUUUGCCAGUUUGAGUCCCAGUUGCCCCAUUUCCAAUACAGCUUACUGAUAAUGUACCUGGGAAGGCACAGAUGAUGGCCCUAGUACUUGGAUUCCUGCCACCCAUGUGGGAGACCUGUCUUCUGGUUUCACCCUGGUCUGACCCAGCUGUCACAGGCGUUUGGAGAGUAAAAAUGGGAUCUCUGUCACUCUGCCUUUCAAAUAUACAAACAACUUGGAAACUCUUCUGGUGUUUGUACUCCUCUUUCACAAAUCUCAGUUCUAUAGAGCACAGUAACUCACUUGGCACGCUGGCCUACGCCCGCCCCACUUUAUCCACUAUGGCCCUUUCUCAGGUCUUCACCCUUUUCCUUUUAUCUUUUCAAGGUCAAUUUCAUCUCUCAGAAAUUAUUCUACUUAUGUCAAACAUCUGUCACAUUCUUUUCUGUAAUUAUAAAUAUAAUUGGCUUUUAAACCACUUCUUCCAUUAAUAAGUUAGGAGAAGAUGGCCCAAGUCCUUGGACCCCUGCACCAGAUGAAGCUCCUGGCUCCAAACUGAUGCAGCUCCGGUCAUUGUGACCAUCUGGGGAGUGAAUCAGCAGAAGGAAGACCUUUCUCUCUCUCUCUGCCUUUCAAAUAAAAUAAAUAAAUCUUUUAAAAAAAUAUGAGGUAGGGACUAGAAUCUAAGCAAUCUGCAGUACUGUUUACUCUGUAUCACUUCAGGUUUGACAUUUAUUAAUAUAAGGACC